GAUGAACGCUGGCGGCGUGCUUAACACAUGCAAGUCGAACGGUCGCAAGACAGUGGCGCACGGGUGAGUAACACGUAGCUAACCUGCCUUCGAGUGCGGAAUAACGCUCCGAAAGGAGUGCUAAUACCGCAUAAGCUCACGAGAAGUAAAUGCUUGUGAGAAAAGGAGUAAUCCGCUUGAAGAGGGGGCUGCGACCCAUC
RNAcentral lists this ribosomal RNA (200 nucleotides) under uncultured bacterium. RNAcentral's name for it is "partial 16S ribosomal RNA". It matches the Rfam family "Bacterial small subunit ribosomal RNA", at positions 28 to 242 of the family's 1533-position model. The record is from RNAcentral.